UACGUAGGGGGCGAGCGUUAUCCGGAAUUAUUGGGCGUAAAGAGUACGUAGGUGGUCAUCUAAGCGCAAGGUGAAAGACCGGGGCUUAACUCCGGUGAGCCUUGUGAACUGGAAGACUUGAGUGCAGGAGGGGAAAGUGGAAUUCCUGGUGUAGCGGUGAAAUGCGCAGAUAUCAGGAGGAACACCGGUGGCGAAGGCGACUUUCUGGACUGUAACUGACACUGAGGUACGAAAGCGUGGGUAGCAAACA
RNAcentral lists this ribosomal RNA (250 nucleotides) under uncultured prokaryote. RNAcentral's name for it is "partial 16S ribosomal RNA". It matches the Rfam family "Bacterial small subunit ribosomal RNA", at positions 524 to 774 of the family's 1533-position model. The record is from RNAcentral.